UACAGAGGGUGCAAGCGUUAAUCGGAAUUACUGGGCGUAAAGCGCGCGUAGGUGGUUUGUUAAGUUGGAUGUGAAAUCCCCGGGCUCAACCUGGGAACUGCAUUCAAAACUGACAAGCUAGAGUACGGGAGAGGGGGGUAGAAUUCCAGGUGUAGCGGUGAAAUGCGUAGAGAUCUGGAGGAAUACCGAUGGCGAAGGCAGCCCCCUGGCCUGAUACUGACACUGAGGUGCGAAAGCAUGGGGAGCAAACAGGAUUAGAAACCCCGGUAGU
RNAcentral lists this ribosomal RNA (271 nucleotides) under uncultured bacterium. RNAcentral's name for it is "partial 16S ribosomal RNA". It matches the Rfam family "Bacterial small subunit ribosomal RNA", at positions 524 to 794 of the family's 1533-position model. The record is from RNAcentral.